This 2921-nucleotide ribosomal RNA is filed under the name Klebsiella pneumoniae. RNAcentral describes it as "23S ribosomal RNA". It matches the Rfam family "Bacterial large subunit ribosomal RNA". Lineage: Bacteria; Pseudomonadati; Pseudomonadota; Gammaproteobacteria; Enterobacterales; Enterobacteriaceae. The record is from RNAcentral.
GGGUUGUGAGGUUAAGCGACUAAGCGUACACGGUGGAUGCCCUGGCAGUCAGAGGCGAUGAAGGACGUGCUAAUCUGCGAAAAGCGUCGGUAAGGUGAUAUGAACCGUUAUAACCGGCGAUGUCCGAAUGGGGAAACCCAGUGCAAUUCGUUGCACUAUCGUUAACUGAAUACAUAGGUUAACGAGGCGAACCGGGGGAACUGAAACAUCUAAGUACCCCGAGGAAAAGAAAUCAACCGAGAUUCCCCCAGUAGCGGCGAGCGAACGGGGAGCAGCCCAGAGUCUGAAUCAGCUUGUGUGUUAGUGGAACGGUCUGGAAAGUCCGACGGUACAGGGUGAUAGUCCCGUACACCAAAAUGCACAGGCUGUGAACUCGAAGAGUAGGGCGGGACACGUGGUAUCCUGUCUGAAUAUGGGGGGACCAUCCUCCAAGGCUAAAUACUCCUGACUGACCGAUAGUGAACCAGUACCGUGAGGGAAAGGCGAAAAGAACCCCGGCGAGGGGAGUGAAAAAGAACCUGAAACCGUGUACGUACAAGCAGUGGGAGCACCUUCGGGUGUGACUGCGUACCUUUUGUAUAAUGGGUCAGCGACUUAUAUUCUGUAGCAAGGUUAACCGUAUAGGGGAGCCGCAGGGAAACCGAGUCUUAACUGGGCGUUAAGUUGCAGGGUAUAGACCCGAAACCCGGUGAUCUAGCCAUGGGCAGGUUGAAGGUUGGGUAACACUAACUGGAGGACCGAACCGACUAAUGUUGAAAAAUUAGCGGAUGACUUGUGGCUGGGGGUGAAAGGCCAAUCAAACCGGGAGAUAGCUGGUUCUCCCCGAAAGCUAUUUAGGUAGCGCCUCGUGAAUUCAUCUUCGGGGUAGAGCACUGUUUCGGCUAGGGGGUCAUCCCGACUUACCAACCCGAUGCAAACUACGAAUACCGAAGAAUGUUAUCACGGGAGACACACGGCGGGUGCUAACGUCCGUCGUGAAGAGGGAAACAACCCAGACCGCCAGCUAAGGUCCCAAAGUCAUGGUUAAGUGGGAAACGAUGUGGGAAGGCACAGACAGCCAGGAUGUUGGCUUAGAAGCAGCCAUCAUUUAAAGAAAGCGUAAUAGCUCACUGGUCGAGUCGGCCUGCGCGGAAGAUGUAACGGGGCUAAACCAUGCACCGAAGCUGCGGCAGCGACACUAUGUGUUGUUGGGUAGGGGAGCGUUCUGUAAGCCUGCGAAGGUGUGCUGUGAGGCAUGCUGGAGGUAUCAGAAGUGCGAAUGCUGACAUAAGUAACGAUAAAGCGGGUGAAAAGCCCGCUCGCCGGAAGACCAAGGGUUCCUGUCCAACGUUAAUCGGGGCAGGGUGAGUCGACCCCUAAGGCGAGGCCGAAAGGCGUAGUCGAUGGGAAACAGGUUAAUAUUCCUGUACUUGGUGUUACUGCGAAGGGGGGACGGAGAAGGCUAUGUUAGCCGGGCGACGGUUGUCCCGGUUUAAGCAUGUAGGCUGGUUGUCCAGGCAAAUCCGGAUAAUCAAGGCUGAGGUGUGAUGACGAGGCACUACGGUGCUGAAGUAACAAAUGCCCUGCUUCCAGGAAAAGCCUCUAAGCAUCAGGUAACAUCAAAUCGUACCCCAAACCGACACAGGUGGUCAGGUAGAGAAUACCAAGGCGCUUGAGAGAACUCGGGUGAAGGAACUAGGCAAAAUGGUGCCGUAACUUCGGGAGAAGGCACGCUGGUGUGUAGGUGAAGUCCCUGCGGAUGGAGCUGAGACCAGUCGAAGAUACCAGCUGGCUGCAACUGUUUAUUAAAAACACAGCACUGUGCAAACACGAAAGUGGACGUAUACGGUGUGACGCCUGCCCGGUGCCGGAAGGUUAAUUGAUGGGGUUAUCCGUAAGGAGAAGCUCUUGAUCGAAGCCCCGGUAAACGGCGGCCGUAACUAUAACGGUCCUAAGGUAGCGAAAUUCCUUGUCGGGUAAGUUCCGACCUGCACGAAUGGCGUAAUGAUGGCCAGGCUGUCUCCACCCGAGACUCAGUGAAAUUGAACUCGCUGUGAAGAUGCAGUGUACCCGCGGCAAGACGGAAAGACCCGUGAACCUUUACUAUAGCUUGACACUGAACAUUGAGCCUUGAUGUGUAGGAUAGGUGGGAGGCUUUGAAGCGUGGACGCCAGUCUGCGUGGAGCCAACCUUGAAAUACCACCCUUUAAUGUUUGAUGUUCUAACGUUGGCCCCUUACCGGGGUUGCGGACAGUGUCUGGUGGGUAGUUUGACUGGGGCGGUCUCCUCCCAAAGCGUAACGGAGGAGCACGAAGGUUAGCUAAUCCUGGUCGGACAUCAGGAGGUUAGUGCAAUGGCAUAAGCUAGCUUGACUGCGAGCGUGACGGCGCGAGCAGGUGCGAAAGCAGGUCAUAGUGAUCCGGUGGUUCUGAAUGGAAGGGCCAUCGCUCAACGGAUAAAAGGUACUCCGGGGAUAACAGGCUGAUACCGCCCAAGAGUUCAUAUCGACGGCGGUGUUUGGCACCUCGAUGUCGGCUCAUCACAUCCUGGGGCUGAAGUAGGUCCCAAGGGUAUGGCUGUUCGCCAUUUAAAGUGGUACGCGAGCUGGGUUUAGAACGUCGUGAGACAGUUCGGUCCCUAUCUGCCGUGGGCGCUGGAGAAUUGAGGGGGGCUGCUCCUAGUACGAGAGGACCGGAGUGGACGCAUCACUGGUGUUCGGGUUGUCAUGCCAAUGGCACUGCCCGGUAGCUAAAUGCGGAAGAGAUAAGUGCUGAAAGCAUCUAAGCACGAAACUUGCCCCGAGAUGAGUUCUCCCUGAGACUUUAAGUCUCCUGAAGGAACGUUGAAGACGACGACGUUGAUAGGCCGGGUGUGUAAGCGCAGCGAUGCGUUGAGCUAACCGGUACUAAUGAACCGUGAGGCUUAACCUUACAACGCCGAAG